RNAcentral lists this ribosomal RNA (494 nucleotides) under uncultured bacterium. Its description in RNAcentral is "partial 16S ribosomal RNA". It matches the Rfam family "Bacterial small subunit ribosomal RNA", at positions 28 to 507 of the family's 1533-position model. The record is from RNAcentral.
GACGAACGCUGGCGGCGUGCUUAACACAUGCAAGUCGAACGGAAAGGCCUUCUUUCCCUUGUGGAUUGCGGGUGCUCGAGUGGCGAACGGGUGAGUAACACGUGAGUGAUCUGCCCCCAACUUGGGUAUAAGCCUGGGAAACUGGGUCUAAUUCCCGAUAGGACUGCAGGGUGGUGCCUGUGGUGGAAAACGAUUUUCUAGUGGUUGGGGAUGAGCUCGCGGCCUAUCAGCUUGUUGGUGGGGUAAUGGCCUACCAAGGCGGCGACGGGUAGCCGGCCUGAGAGGGUGGACGGCCACAUUGGGACUGAGAUACGGCCCAGACUCCUACGGGAGGCAGCAGUGGGGAAUAUUGCACAAUGGGCGGAAGCCUGAUGCAGCGACGCCGCGUGGGGGAUGACGGCCUUCGGGUUGUAAACUCCUUUCGACCGCGAGGAAGCCACCUGGUUGGAAGGGUGGUGACGGUAGUGGUAGAAGAAGCACCGGCUAACUACGUG